GCCGGAGGAAGGCGAGGAUGACGUCAAGUCAGCAUGGCCUUUAUGUCCUGGGCUACACACACGCUACAAUGGUCGGUACAACAGGUUGCCAAGCCGCGAGGCGGAGCCAAUCCCUAAAGCUGGUCUCAGUUCAGAUUGCAGGCUGCAACCCGCCUGCAUGAAGAUGGAGUUGCUAGUAACCGCAGGUCAGCUAUACUGCGGUGAAUACCGGUUCCCGGGGCUU
This 223-nucleotide ribosomal RNA is filed under the name uncultured Anaerolineaceae bacterium. RNAcentral's name for it is "partial 16S ribosomal RNA". It matches the Rfam family "Bacterial small subunit ribosomal RNA", at positions 1162 to 1382 of the family's 1533-position model. The record is from RNAcentral. Lineage: Bacteria; Bacillati; Chloroflexota; Anaerolineae; Anaerolineales; Anaerolineaceae.